UCUAACUCCGUGCCAGCAACCGGUGUAAUACGGAGGAUCCAAGCUGUAUACGGAAUCAUUGGGGUUAAAGGGUCCUGAGGCGGCUUAAUAAGUCAGCGGUGAAAGUUUGCAGCUGAACGGCAAAAGUGCCAUUGAUACUGUUAGGCUUGAAUUAUUGUGAAGUAACUAGAAUAUGUAGUGUAGCGGUGAAAUGCUUAGAUAUUACAUGGAAUACCAAUUGCGAAGGCAGGUUACUAACAAUAGAUUGACGUUGAUGGACGAAAGCGUGGGUAGCGAACAGGAUUAGAUACCCUAGUAGUC
RNAcentral lists this ribosomal RNA (300 nucleotides) under uncultured Streptococcus sp. RNAcentral's name for it is "bacterial SSU rRNA". It matches the Rfam family "Bacterial small subunit ribosomal RNA", at positions 496 to 795 of the family's 1533-position model. The record is from RNAcentral. Lineage: Bacteria; Bacillati; Bacillota; Bacilli; Lactobacillales; Streptococcaceae.